GACGAACGCUGGCGGCGUGCCUAAUACAUGCAAGUCGAACGAGAGCGACCGGUGCUUGCACUGGUCAAUCUAGUGGCGAACGGGUGAGUAACACGUGGGUAACCUGCUCAUCAGAGGGGGAUAACAUCCGGAAACGGAUGCUAACACCGCAUAGGUCUUCGAGCCGCAUGGCUUGAAGAGGAAAAGAGGCGCAAGCUUCUGCUGAUGGAUGGACCCGCGGUGCAUUAGCUAGUUGGUGAGGUAACGGCUCACCAAGGCCGUGAUGCAUAGCCGACCUGAGAGGGUGAUCGGCCACAUUGGGACUGAGACACGGCCCAAACUCCUACGGGAGGCAGCAGUAGGGAAUCUUCCGCAAUGGACGCAAGUCUGACGGAGCAACGCCGCGUGAGUGAAGAAGGUGUUCGGAUCGUAAAACUCUGUUGUUAGAGAAGAACAAGUGCUAGAGUAACUGUUAGCGCCUUGACGGUAUCUAACCAGAAAGCCACGGCUAACUACGUG
Molecule: ribosomal RNA, 498 nt
Filed under: uncultured bacterium
Lineage: Bacteria
Description: partial 16S ribosomal RNA
Rfam family: Bacterial small subunit ribosomal RNA
Source: RNAcentral